UGCCAGCAGCCGCGGUAAUACAGAGGCCUCAAGCGUUAUCCGGAUUUACUGGGCGUAAAGGGUGCGUAGGCGGUGAUAUCAGUCAGGUGUUAAAUCCUCAGGCUUAACCUGAGAAUCGCAUUUGAAACAGUAUCACUAGAAGAUAUGAGAGGUAAGCAGAACUCUCGGUGUAGGGGUGAAAUCCGUUGAUAUCGAGGGGAAUACCAAAUGCGAAGGCAGCUUACUGGCAUAUUCUUGACGCUGAGGCACGAAAGCGUGGGUAGCGAAUGGGAUUAGAUA
Molecule: ribosomal RNA, 279 nt
Filed under: uncultured bacterium
Lineage: Bacteria
Description: partial 16S ribosomal RNA
Rfam family: Bacterial small subunit ribosomal RNA
Source: RNAcentral